AACCACUGGUUUUGGAUUAAAUCCGGACUCCGAACCACUGGUUCUGACUUUCUUUUAUCAUUUUUCAAGAGGAUAUCCUUUUUGAAAAAGUUGUUGAAAUCUUGCCAACCUAAAUAAAGGAAUGGCGAUGUAUUGUUUGAAGUCAGGAGCCCGCCUGAAGAGAGGAAUGGCGAUUAUUUUCAAAGUUGUUGUCAGGAGCCCGCCUGAAGAGAGGAAAGGCAUUUUUAAAAGUUGUUGAAAUCUUGCCAACCUAAAGAAAGGAAUGGCGAUGUAUGAUUUGAAGUCAGGAGCCCUCCUGAAGAGAGGAAAGGCAUUUUUAAAAGUUGUUGAAAUCUUGCCAACCUAAAGAAAGGAAUGGCGAUGUAUUGUUUGAAGUCAGGAGCCCGCCUGAAGAGAGGAAUG
RNAcentral lists this long non-coding RNA (402 nucleotides) under Nicotiana tabacum (common tobacco). Its description in RNAcentral is "long non-coding RNA (NTAB_LNC015813)". The record is from RNAcentral. Lineage: Eukaryota; Viridiplantae; Streptophyta; Magnoliopsida; Solanales; Solanaceae.